ACGCUAGUUGAACAUGACGGUUCUUUAAUGAGAUGAAAAGGGAAUGCGGUGCGGGGAAACCUCCCCAAUGCCGCGGCUGCCCCCGCAACUGUAUGCGGUGAAUCCUUCGUCAGAUGCCACUGGGAAACUCGGUCCUGGGAAGGCGACGAAGGGUAACGACCCGCGAGCCAGGAGACCUGCCGUCAGCCGUGGUCACAC
Molecule: non-coding RNA, 198 nt
Filed under: Bradyrhizobium elkanii
Lineage: Bacteria; Pseudomonadati; Pseudomonadota; Alphaproteobacteria; Hyphomicrobiales; Nitrobacteraceae
Source: RNAcentral